Molecule: ribosomal RNA, 501 nt
Filed under: uncultured bacterium
Lineage: Bacteria
Description: partial 16S ribosomal RNA
Rfam family: Bacterial small subunit ribosomal RNA
Source: RNAcentral
AUUGAACGCUGGCGGCAUGCCUUACACAUGCAAGUCGAACGGCAGCACGGGUGCUUGCACCUGGUGGCGAGUGGCGAACGGGUGAGUAAUACAUCGGAACGUACCUUAUCGUGGGGGGUAACGCAGUGAAAGCUGUGCUAAUACCGCAUACGCCCUGAGGGGGAAAGCGGGGGAUCGAAAGACCUCGCGCGAUUAGAGCGGCCGAUGCCUGAUUAGCUUGUUGGUGGGGUAAAAGCCCACCAAGGCGACGAUCAGUAGCUGGUCUGAGAGGACGAUCAGCCACACUGGGACUGAGACACGGCCCAGACUCCUACGGGAGGCAGCAGUGGGGAAUUUUGGACAAUGGGGGCAACCCUGAUCCAGCAAUGCCGCGUGAGUGAAGAAGGCCUUCGGGUUGUAAAGCUCUUUUGUCAGGGAAGAAACACCGGCUCUAACACAGUCCGGGAAUGACGGUACCUGAAGAAUAAGCACCGGCUAACUACGUGCCAGCAGCCGCCGUAA